This 69-nucleotide transfer RNA is filed under the name Enochrus politus. Its description in RNAcentral is "tRNA-Leu". The record is from RNAcentral. Lineage: Eukaryota; Metazoa; Arthropoda; Insecta; Coleoptera; Hydrophilidae.
UUGUUACUUUGGCAGAUUAGUGCGUUAAAUUUAGAAUUUAGGUAUGUAUUUUUAUUAUACAGGUAAUAC